CCAAAUCUAGCUUUGCCCACGAAUGGCAUCCCAACAGAGUUAAAAAAAACUGCUUGCAAGGGCAUGAACUACUGACCCCAGCCUAGAUGACCUUUAAGCUUGCUUUCAGCCUGCAUUCUGGAGUUCUUAGCUUUUCAGCUGAGGCUUGUAUUAAACGGUUUGAUUUGUCAUCUUGUGUCUGCCCCCUUGUGGACAUUGUUUUGGGAAGAAAAUAAAAUAUUUAAUUGCUCGAAGAACAAUAUAAUGACUAUCUCACCCUCCAAAAAUUCACUUGCAUCACACUGUUUUUCAAUUAUUCAUGUUCACUUCUAGUCCUCGUUCAUAAAUGUACAUCAUUUUACAUGGUUGAUUCAUAUCAGGGACAUAAUUUUGUACUUUUCCCCACUCCCUGAUAAUGAUGUUUUUACAGUAAAAUAUAAAAAUGCUUGUGAUUCAAUAAGCUUUUAAAAUAUUA
This 454-nucleotide small RNA is filed under the name Pongo abelii (Sumatran orangutan). Its description in RNAcentral is "processed transcript". Lineage: Eukaryota; Metazoa; Chordata; Mammalia; Primates; Hominidae. The record is from RNAcentral.